Nylanderia fulva is the source of this 439-nucleotide non-coding RNA. The record is from RefSeq and is a predicted model, not a curated record. NCBI's taxonomy places the organism in Eukaryota, Metazoa, Arthropoda, Insecta, Hymenoptera, Formicidae.
UCUCGCGCUGUCGCCGCUGCGGCUCGUUUUCUCUCUCGCAUAUGCAUGGAAGAGCGCGCGCCUCUCCACGUGUCCCUCGCAUGGAUGCGACCCGCCGGCUCUCUCGAACGUGAGAUGUAAACAUUCGACACUUGGAAUGUUUUUUGAAAUAGAUAUAGUUCUUUGUGAAGAUUUUUUAAGUGGGGUACAGCCUGUGGAGAGCAGGGCUGUCUCUGCAAUCAUAAAGUUUUGAACGGUCCUCAACGAAGUGUCGGGACAUUGCAACGAAAAUGUUUGCCCUCUGUAUUAUUUGUUGUUGUUGGGUGAUCAAGGACCUCGUUUAUGAUAUAUUAAGGGAUGCAGAAUGGGAAAAUUAUUCAGAUGACGACUUUGAAGAAUGGAUAGGGGAUGACGAAUGGGACGAUAUGUGUGAUUGGGAUUGGGAUCCAUAUAUAAGAGA